This 253-nucleotide ribosomal RNA is filed under the name uncultured bacterium. RNAcentral's name for it is "partial 16S ribosomal RNA". It matches the Rfam family "Bacterial small subunit ribosomal RNA", at positions 524 to 776 of the family's 1533-position model. The record is from RNAcentral.
UACGAAGGGGGCGAGCGUUGUUCGGAAUCACUGGGCGUAAAGGGCGCGUAGGCGGCCGUUCAAGUCGGGGGUGAAAGCCUGUGGCUCAACCACAGAAUUGCCUUCGAUACUGGACGGCUCGAGACCGGAAGAGGUCAGUGGAACUGCGAGUGUAGAGGUGAAAUUCGUAGAUAUUCGCAAGAACACCAGUGGCGAAGGCGGCUGACUGGUCCGGUUCUGACGCUGAGGCGCGAAAGCGUGGGGAGCAAACAGG